RNAcentral lists this ribosomal RNA (467 nucleotides) under uncultured bacterium. RNAcentral describes it as "partial 16S ribosomal RNA". It matches the Rfam family "Bacterial small subunit ribosomal RNA", at positions 28 to 507 of the family's 1533-position model. The record is from RNAcentral.
GACGAACGCUGGCGGCGUGCUUAACACAUGCAAGUCGAACGAUGAUGCCCAGCUUGCUGGGCGGAUUAGUGGCGAACGGGUGAGUAACACGUGAGUAACCUGCCCCUGACUCUGGGAUAAGCGUUGGAAACGACGUCUAAUACUGGAUAUGAUCGCCGACCGCAUGGUCUGGUGGUGGAAAGAUUUUUUGGUUGGGGAUGGACUCGCGGCCUAUCAGCUUGUUGGUGAGGUAAUGGCUCACCAAGGCGACGACGGGUAGCCGGCCUGAGAGGGUGACCGGCCACACUGGGACUGAGACACGGCCCAGACUCCUACGGGAGGCAGCAGUGGGGAAUAUUGCACAAUGGGCGAAAGCCUGGUGCAGCAACGCCGCGUGAGGGAUGACGGCCUUCGGGUUGUAAACCUCUUUUAGUAGGGAAGAAGCGAAAGUGACGGUACCUGCAGAAAAAGCACCGGCUAACUACGUG